AGCAACAGAGCAUUAGAAGAUGUUCAAAUCUAGAAAGGACCCAGCAGGAGCCACCAACAUUCAGACACACCCCCUAUUACAAAGGUGGCAGAUUACCAUCGCUGAAGCAAUACCUGGAUUUUGUUUAAACGAGGAGGGCUCUUCCAACCUGGAUGAUUCUAUGACAAGGGCACAGAAGACUUGGAAACAGCAGAGGAAUCUCUUUUUCCUGCAGGACUUCUAGACAAAGACCUGCAUGGAAAAAUGCUGGGCAGCAGACUGCUUCUGAGAAGAGCAUUUCUGUAGAAACCACACAUAAUUACUGCUCAAGGAGAGGAUAUCAAAGAGGGUUCCUGUCAUCUUGUCCGGAACAAGCGAAGAUGGAAGUCAGCAGUCUGGAGUCCUACCAGGAGAGCUACUGAAGCGAGAGAUGGAGAAGGGGAAUCCAGUCUGUUC
This is a long non-coding RNA of Pogoniulus pusillus (Red-fronted tinkerbird), 435 nucleotides long. RefSeq lists it as uncharacterized. Lineage: Eukaryota; Metazoa; Chordata; Aves; Piciformes; Lybiidae. The transcript is spliced from 4 exons. The record is from RefSeq and is a predicted model, not a curated record.